CCGCCAGUGUCUUCCAUGAGCGCCGUCAGCUCGUCACUCCGCAUUCUCUCCGCCGCGCCUGCGUUCCGAUGGAGAAAAGGGUACACAGAUACAUGCCCUUCUCACACUGCAGAACUGCCCAAGGAGAGUCUGGAGCAAGAGCAUGCAGCGUGGCGUCCUCCUGUCCUACAUGGGAGUGGCCACCGUGGGGUUGUUUUGUGCUGUGACAUAGAAUGGCCAACCUGGUUUGCCUGGGACCAGGGAAUUUCCUGGAUGCAGGACUUUCCAAAAAGGGGACCCGAGUGAUGACAAAUGAUUUUGUGCCUGGGCCUGGAAAACAACAUUUCAAAUUCGAAGCUUGGGAUCCUGCAGGAUUUGGUGUCUGUCUCUAUCUUACCACCCGCCUGCCCCUCCCUUGAACCUCUGUACUGACCAUCAAAUUGGGCAAAAGGCAUCAUGCUCCUACUGGGCAGGGCUGCCCGAGAAGUCAGAGCUCAAGGCGUCCAGUGGCCCACUCCCUUCUGGUGACAGGCUGUUCCCUCCUGGCAUGGGCGCUGGCGGGAGGCCAGGGAGCAGUGGGGCCGCGAGGCAGCCUUGGCUCAGAGCCCUGGCUGCUGUCUGGGCAUGAAACUGGGCUCUGGCACCAGGAGCGUGGUUCUAGCUCUCUGACCCAGAACUGCCUGUGCAGCGACCACCCCACCUCUCAGGCCCUGUCCUGGGGCCCAGUCCUUCUGCCCCUCAGGCAGGGCAGGUUGGGGAGCAGAGAUGGAUCUGGAAGGAAUGGCAGAAGCCAGUAGAGGAUGCCGAGGCAAAAGCAAGGAAUGUCUCCACGCAGAGAGACAGCCUCUGGGGGUGUGUCUGAGAAAGAGGAGAGAAUGGAUGUGUGUCUAGCGAGUGGACAGAGCAAGCUUUCCUCCGCUUCCUUGCUCUGCGGUGGACUGGGGCCCUCAGCCCUACCAAUGGCAUCCCUCCAUGACCCCCCAGGGCCUCAAAUCCAGACGCAGUGUCUCUAAUGGGGGGCCCUCUCCCUGCCCUGAAGUGAGAGCUCUACCUGGGUCCCCGCAAACCGGUCUUUUUCAGUAGGCCUCCUGCCGCCAGCUUUUCAACCGUGUUUUUCAGCCUCUGACCCCAGAGUAAUCUCAACUUCCUUGUACUCAGUUCAGAAGAUGUUUGCUAUUCAGGAUUCUGAUGCAGAGGUCUGAUAAGAGAGGCCUCGGGCCUUCGGAGUUCCUAAACCAGCAGAGUCCAAGGAUUUGAAAGCUGAGAAGUGUAAGGACAGCCACACCCUGAGAGGUGGCCCAGCGCCAGCUCCUGUCACCUGAAAUCUUCCAGGAUAUUGAGAAAUGGGUGUUAGUGGGACUUCACUACAUUUACUUUGGAUGUCUUGUUUGUCUUGUUUUUGGAACGAGAGUUUCCCAUAGCGCUGACAAAAUCCGAUCUGUGUUUUAUUGCAUCUACUCUAGCUCCUAUGCUUGGCUUGGUUUUGCUUUCUACCUCUGUGUCAAUUUUCUGCCACAGAGUAAGCUGUUGUGUAGAAAUCCAGUGUAGGAAAACAGAGAACACCUUCCAAGCUGCCGUGGAAUCUCACCCCUAACUGGCCUAUCGGUGUGAGAGGCGCUUGGGGAGGAAAGGGCUGUCUUCGUGGGCGGCAGCUGGGGCCAGACCUUCACAAUUCCAUUUGCAACAGAGCCCACCGUACACCAAUGCUGAAAGCCCGUGUCUGUUUUAUCAGCCCAUCUCACAUGCUUCCCCUUCCCAUGGGUGACUACAUCAAGUGCUGAGGUGGAGGUGAGGUCCAAGGGCAAAGGAGGUGUGAAUUAGGCAUGGGCCAUUUUCAUCAGCCAAAAAGUACAGCAGUAACACAAGGCUGCAGGAAAUACAAGUUUGGUGGUACAGUAACACUAAGUGGACUCCACUAACUAGACACGCUCUUGGUUUUAUACUGGGGUGCUGGUGUCACCUAGUCCCUUUCCCAAGGCUCAGUGGAAGGUUGUUUGGGACAAGUGCGUGAAAGUUGUUGCCAGAUAGUCCCAGGGUGCAAAUGCUUCCUUCUUAGCUCGGUGAUCUUGGAAGUUUUCUAGGCCUCAGUUCCCACAUCUAUAAAAGGGAGAAACUAAGCCUGUCACAUAGAAUUAAUGUGGGGUUGAAUGAGAUUAGGAAAAUGAACAUCGAACCCAUAGUAGGGACUCUCUCCAUGGACUGGAGAUCAGAGAACUGCACAGAAGGUCUGCUUUUAAGUCUUAGCCCAGCCAGGUGGUUCCAGUUCUCUGUUUGCUUUGUGACAGAUGCAAAGGUUGAGAAUCCAUAUGCUGACUGAACAGCAUACUGACUUGUACUGAUGGUGCUGAUUAAUAUUGGGGUGAAGAGAAAAGUGAGCCCCUUGACUCAGCGACACAGUGUGGAGAGAAGAAUUAUCUUAGUGAACAAAUGUUGGAAGAGCAGAGCUGAGGAACACAGAAACAUGGCUGGCAUGAUCCUUGCCAUGCUGUCCAAUGUAGAGCUGGGUCAGGUGGGGCUGCGUCUGCCUGGAUUGUCUCUGCCUUAAGUCUGCCUUGAAGGUUCAAGUGAACUUGAUUUAGUCUUGGGGUUCAGGAAGGGAACAUUGAGGUUUGUUAUAGAGUGUCCCUAGCACACUUUACCCAGGACAAGACCGUAGCCCCCUUUCCUGACCCCCAUCGCCCAUCAUGGCCCCCAGCUGCCAGCUACCCACAAUCCUCAGGGUGUUCCUGUGUAAGGUGAAGACUCAACUAGGAAAAGCAUUGAGUGACACUCUUGUCAAGAGGGAUCUUAUAGGGCUGUCCCAUUGGCCAGUGAGAGAAAAAUAUGUAUAUUAAAAUUUUUUUCUGAGGAAAUUAAAAUCCAAAUAUUUGUCUAACCAAGCUUAGGUGGAAAGUGAAUCUUGAUUCCAUAUUAUACACAUUAGGCCUGGAAGAGAAGAAUGAGUGGUCGGGUUAACAGGGACUGAGGCUUCUGUGCAGGCUGAAGAGUAGUUCUGAGGAAAAAGCUCGAGUGGUCAGAAUCCAUUGAGAAUCUGAAAAUAUAGCUGAGAUUCUGCUCUCCUCCUUCACUAAAUUAUUUACCCAGGUUACUGAUAAUCAAUUAAUUGCCUGAAUCGCCAUCCCCCCACCCCAUUUAUACAUGUGAUUUCUUAGCAAUGGGCAGGGGAGGAAGUCUGAGACACAGGGAGUCAUAAUGGUCUUUACUCUAGAUGGUAAAUAAAUGAGACUUGGCUGUCUUUCA
Ursus maritimus (polar bear) is the source of this 3219-nucleotide long non-coding RNA. The record is from Ensembl. Lineage: Eukaryota; Metazoa; Chordata; Mammalia; Carnivora; Ursidae.